UGCUUAGUUUUUGAGGGCGAA
RNAcentral lists this non-coding RNA (21 nucleotides) under Rattus norvegicus (Norway rat). The record is from RNAcentral. Lineage: Eukaryota; Metazoa; Chordata; Mammalia; Rodentia; Muridae.